GUUACACGUGAGGAUUCCGUAUGCAAUAAAAGCCGCCCCUGCAUAUAAACAUCACUUACUUCGUUCUUGCGUCCAAGGAAGGAACUUCUACAGACUUUACACCAACAUGAAUAUUCUUACAGUGUGCAUCCUUGUGUGUGUUGCUGGUGCAGCAUAUUCACUUCCAGUCUAUGAGGAUCCUCCGCUACCACCUUUCUGUAAUAAACUAGAAUGUCCUCGGUUCACGGUUAAGAGAAAAACAGCAGA
Long non-coding RNA from Actinia tenebrosa (Australian red waratah sea anemone), 246 nucleotides. The record is from RefSeq and is a predicted model, not a curated record. Lineage: Eukaryota; Metazoa; Cnidaria; Anthozoa; Actiniaria; Actiniidae.